CGUGGUUCGUCUUGCGGGCGCCCUCGCCGACCUUAGGCAGCGCGAGGUCAACGCCGAAGGGCAGGUCGGGGCUUUUCAGGUAUGAUUUUAACUCUGUGAGCAUCUCGUCGAGCUGGUCAGGGGUGUAGCCCAGUCCGCCGACAGUGCCCAGGCCUCCUGCAUUGGAGACUGCGGCGGCAAGGGGACCGCCUGAUGUCCGGGCCAUACCGGCCAAGAGUAUGGGGUGUUGGAUGCCGAGGAGGCUUGUGAGCGGAGUGGUUAUUUGAGACAUGGUAAAUAUGUGGUGAGAGGAGACAGUUUCCAGAGGGGAGGGGGGGGUUUAAGUUGUCAAGCUUUCAGAUAUAUCUAUUAUUUGGAGGGCUCGGUUGUACGUGGGAGCUCGCAGUUUUUAUCAAUCGGGAAAUCAAUGGGAAUAUAAAAUGAAGAGCACUCGGAGGCGGAGCUUUCAAUGGCUAUAUAUAGCUGCUGACUUUCGUCCCGA
Molecule: small RNA, 481 nt
Filed under: Histoplasma capsulatum
Lineage: Eukaryota; Fungi; Ascomycota; Eurotiomycetes; Onygenales; Ajellomycetaceae
Also listed under: 1 other name
Description: hypothetical RNA
Source: RNAcentral